CCAGGGAACUACGAGCAAAGCUUAAAACCCAAAGGACUUGACGGUACCCCACAUCCACCUAGAGGAGCCUGUCCUAUAAUCGAUACCCCACGCUAAACCUCACCACCUCUCGCCUACUCAGCCUGUAUACCUCCGUCGUCAGCUUACCACGUGAGCGCAACUCAGUGAGCUUAAUGCCUAUACGCCAAUACGUCAGGUCAAGGUGCAGCAAAUGAGGUGGAAAGAGAUGGGCUACACUCUCUAAUAUAGAAAAUACGGAAGACUAUUUAUGAAAUCUAGUCUAAAGGCGGAUUUAGAAGUAAAAAGGAAAAAGAAUGCCCUUUUUAACUCGGCACCGGGGUGUGUACACACCGCCCGUCACCCUCUUCAAAGCCACCAAAAAGUAAAUAACUAACUAAUGCAACACAGAAGAGGCAAGUCGUAACAUGGUAAGUAUACCGGAAGGUGUGCUUGGAAACGAAGUGUAGCUUAAAUAAAGCAUCUCGCUUACACCGAAAAGAUACCUGUUAAAUCCAGAUCCCUUCGAGCUAAAAAUUUAGCCCCAACCACCAAAAUGCCACACAAAAACUCCAUCUCAUCAACUAAAACAUUUUUACCUUUUAGUAGAGGCGAUUGAAAAAUUACUUGGAGCUACACAAUACUGUACCG
RNAcentral lists this ribosomal RNA (648 nucleotides) under Chimerella mira. RNAcentral describes it as "Chimerella sp. 2 MV-2023 partial small subunit ribosomal RNA". The stretch from base 1 to 466 matches the Rfam family "Bacterial small subunit ribosomal RNA", at positions 872 to 1533 of the family's 1533-position model. The record is from RNAcentral. Lineage: Eukaryota; Metazoa; Chordata; Amphibia; Anura; Centrolenidae.